Molecule: ribosomal RNA, 254 nt
Filed under: uncultured bacterium
Lineage: Bacteria
Description: partial 16S ribosomal RNA
Rfam family: Bacterial small subunit ribosomal RNA
Source: RNAcentral
UACGUAGGGUGCGAGCGUUGCCCGGAUUUAUUGGGCGUAAAGGGCGCGUAGGCGGCUCUGCACGUCCGUUGUGAAAUCGCCCGGCUCAACUGGGCGGGGUCAGCGGAUACGGCGGAGCUUGAGCAAGCUAGGGGGCAAUGGAAUUCCCGGUGUAGUGGUGGAAUGCGUAGAGAUCCGGCGGAACACCGGUGGUGAAGACGGUCUCCUGGGCCGAGGGCCGACGCUGAUGCGCGAAAGCGUGGGGAGCGAUCCGG